CCUAAAAUUUAGCCUUAAGUUAUUGUAUAAAUCUUAGUCUUAAAUUUUAUUUAAUAAAACAUUUUAACCCCUUAAGUAAAGGUGAUUGAAAAAGCUCUAAGCGCUAUAGAAAUAGUACCGCGAGGGAAAAAUGAAAUAAUAAUGAAACAACUAAAGCUAACUACAGCAGAGAACUUACCUCGUACCUUUUGCAUCAUGGCCCAGCAAGACUUAACAAGCGAAAUGAAAUUUAAGUUUUAGACCCCGAACCUAGGCGAGCUACUUAAGACCAGCCUAUUGGGCUAACCCGUCUCUGUGGCAAUAGAGUGGGGAGAGUUUUAAGUAGAAGUGAAAAUCCUAUCGAGCCUAGAAAUAGCUGGUUAUUCAUGAAAAGAAUAUAAGUUCUGCCUUAAGUUUUAUUAAUGAUGCCUCAUCAACACCCCUAACUUAAGAGUUAUUUAAAUAAGGAACAGCUUAUUUAAGACAGGACACAACCUAAACAAUAGGGUAAAAUCUUAAUUACUACCAAGUGGGCCUGAAAGCAGCCACCUUUUAAAAAGCGUCACAGCUUGACCUUAACCCCUAAAAUACCACCAACCCAAAUGAACCCUUAAUUUAUAAUGAAUGACUCCAUACAAAUAUGGAAGACACCAUGCUGAGAUUAGUAACAAGAAUAAAUAAUUCUCCUAAAUGCAAGUAUAAACCAACAUGGAUAAACCAUUGGUGAUUACCGAACCUAAGUUUUCUACAACAACACUCACAAGAAAACCCUGUAGCACCCACUCGUUAACCUAACACUAGCGCAUUUCAGGAAAGAUUAAAAAAAAGAGAAGGAAUUCGGCAAAUAACGACCCCGCCUGUUUACCAAAAACAUCGCCUCUUGAUUUAAAAUAAGAGGUCCAGCCUGCCCAGUGAAUUUUUAACGGCCGCGGUAUCCUAACCGCGCGAAGGUAGCAUAAUCAUUUGUUCUUUAAAUGGGGACUCGUAUCAACGGCAUCACGAGGGUUUUACUGUCUCCUCCUUUUAAUCAGUGAAAUUGAUCUUCCCGUGAAGAAGCGGGAAUGCCUGUAUAAGACGAGAAGACCCCAUGGGAGCUUUAAACCAAAUAGUAACUUAACCACAUAACCCCUAAUAAUUUGGAGUUUAUGCUAUAAGGUUUUCGGUUGGGGUGACCGCGGAGUAAAACAUAUCCUCCACGAGGAAAAGGCCACAAUCUUUAUUUAAGAAUUACAAUUCUAGAAAUUAGUAUACUAACGUUUACUGACCCGAUAAUCGAUCAACGGACCAAGUUACCCUGGGGAUAACAGCCCAAUCUACUUCAAGAGCCCAUAUGGACAAGUAGGCUUACGACCUCGAUGUUGGAUCAGGGUAUCCCAGUGGUGCAGCCGCUACUAAAGGUUCGUUUGUUCAACGAUUAAAAC
This 1400-nucleotide ribosomal RNA is filed under the name Polypedates sp. KUHE 52211. RNAcentral's name for it is "partial 16S rRNA". It matches the Rfam family "Bacterial large subunit ribosomal RNA", at positions 378 to 2594 of the family's 2925-position model. The record is from RNAcentral. Lineage: Eukaryota; Metazoa; Chordata; Amphibia; Anura; Rhacophoridae.